This 237-nucleotide ribosomal RNA is filed under the name Mantidactylus catalai. RNAcentral describes it as "partial 16S ribosomal RNA". It matches the Rfam family "Bacterial large subunit ribosomal RNA", at positions 2268 to 2568 of the family's 2925-position model. Lineage: Eukaryota; Metazoa; Chordata; Amphibia; Anura; Mantellidae. The record is from RNAcentral.
UUUAGGUUGGGGCGACCACGGAGCACAACCAAACCUCCACGAUGAACGGAACAACCCCCUUAUCUGAGAAUUACACUUCUAAGAAUUAGCACACUAACAUAAAAUGACCCAUUAUUGAUCAACGAACCAAGUUACCCUGGGGAUAACAGCGCAAUCCAUUUUAAGAGCCCCUAUCGACAAAUGGGUUUACGACCUCGAUGUUGGAUCAGGAUAUCCCAGUGGUGCAGCAGCUGCUAA